UACGUAGGGUGCAAGCGUUGUCCGGAAUUAUUGGGCGUAAAGAGCUCGUAGGCGGUUUGUCGCGUCUGCUGUGAAAACUCAGGGCUUAACCCUGAGCUUGCAGUGGGUACGGGCAGACUAGAGUGCGGUAGGGGAGACUGGAAUUCCUGGUGUAGCGGUGAAAUGCGCAGAUAUCAGGAGGAACACCGAUGGCGAAGGCAGGUCUCUGGGCCACUACUGACGCUGAGAAGCGAAAGCGUGGGGAGCGAACAGG
This 253-nucleotide ribosomal RNA is filed under the name uncultured bacterium. RNAcentral's name for it is "partial 16S ribosomal RNA". It matches the Rfam family "Bacterial small subunit ribosomal RNA", at positions 524 to 776 of the family's 1533-position model. The record is from RNAcentral.